Molecule: ribosomal RNA, 1521 nt
Filed under: uncultured bacterium
Lineage: Bacteria
Description: bacterial SSU rRNA
Rfam family: Bacterial small subunit ribosomal RNA
Source: RNAcentral
GAGUUUGAUCAUGGCUCAGAACGAACGCUGGCGGCGUGGAUAAGACAUGCAAGUCGAACGCUGAUUUGUAGGUAGUAAUAUUUGCAAAUCGGAGUGGCGCAAGGGUGCGUAACACGUGGGCAAUCUACCGUGAAGCCUGGAAUAACUCGCUGAAAGGCGAGCUAAUACCGGAUGUGAAUAUUGGAGGGCCUCCUCUGACAUUCAAAGCUGGGGACCGCAAGGCCUGGCACUUCACGAUGAGCCCGCGGCCUAUCAGCUAGUUGGUGAGGUAACGGCUCACCAAGGCUAAGACGGGUAGCUGGUCUGAGAGGACGACCAGCCUCACUGGAACUGAGACACGGUCCAGACACCUACGGGUGGCAGCAGUCGAGAAUUUUUCUCAAUGGGCGAAAGCCUGAAGGAGCGACGCUGCGUGGGGGAUGAAUGGCUUCGGCCCGUAAACCCCUGUCAUUUGCGAACAAAUGGUUUUACCUAACACGUAAAGCCUUGAUAGUAGCGGAAGAAGAAAGGGACGGCUAACUCUGUGCCAGCAGCCGCGGUAAUACAGAGGUCCCCAGCCGUUGUUCGGAUUCACUGGGCGUAAAGGGUGCGUAGGCGGCCGGGUAAGUCUGAUGUGAAAUCCCGCAGCUCAACUGCGGAACGGCAUUGGAUACUAUUCGGCUCGAGGAGUGGAGGGGAGACUGGAAUACUUGGUGUAGCAGUGAAAUGCGUAGAUAUCAAGUGGAACACCAGUGGCGAAGGCGAGUCUCUGGACACUUCCUGACGCUGAGGCACGAAAGCCAGGGGAGCAAACGGGAUUAGAUACCCCGGUAGUCCUGGCCCCAAACGGUGCGCGUUUGCUGUGAGCGGAAUCGACCCCGCUCGUGGCGAAGCUAACGCGUUAAACGCGCCGCCUGGGAAGUACGGCCGCAAGGUUAAAACUCAAAGAAAUUGACGGGGGCCUGCACAAGCGGUGGAGUAUGUGGCUCAAUUCGAUGCAACGCGAAGAACCUUACCUGGCCUUGACAUGCAAGUGGUAGAACCAUGAAAGUGGGACGACCCCGCAAGGGGAGCUUGCACAGGUGCUGCAUGGCUGUCGUCAGCUCGUGUCGUGAGAUGUUGGGUUAAGUCCCGCAACGAGCGCAACCCCUGUGUCCUGUUGCCACCCGGUCGCAAGACUGGAGCACUCUGGACAGACUGCCUCGCUUCAACGAGGAGGAAGGUGGGGAUGACGUCAAGUCAGGAUGGCCCUUACGGCCAGGGCUGCACACGUACUACAAUGCCCGGCACAAAGGGAAGCAAGACUGUAAAGUGGAGCAAAUCCCCAAAAACCGGGCCCAGUUCAGAUUGUCGUCUGCAACUCGACGGCAUGAAGCUGGAAUCGCUAGUAAUGGCGCAUCAGCUACGGCGCCGUGAAUACGUUCCCAGGCCUUGUACACACCGCCCGUCACAUCAUGAAAGCCGGUUGCACCCGAAGCCGCCCCUUAAAAGGUGUCGAAGGUAUGACUGGUGAUUGGGAUGAAGUCGUAACAAGGUAACCGU